Molecule: ribosomal RNA, 395 nt
Filed under: uncultured Gammaproteobacteria bacterium
Lineage: Bacteria; Pseudomonadati; Pseudomonadota; Gammaproteobacteria
Description: bacterial SSU rRNA
Rfam family: Bacterial small subunit ribosomal RNA
Source: RNAcentral
GAGUUUGAUCAUGGCUCAGAUUGAACGCUGGCGGCAUGCCUAACACAUGCAAGUCGAACGGCAGCGCGGGGGCAACCCUGGCGGCGAGUGGCGGACGGGUGAGGAACACAUAGGAAUCUACCUCAACGUGGGGGAUAACGUAGGGAAACUUACGCUAAUACCGCAUACGACCGAGAGGGGAAAGCGGCGGACCGCAAGGCGUCGCGCGGUGAGAUGAGCCUAUGUCCGAUUAGCUAGUUGGCGGGGUAAGAGCCCACCAAGGCGACGAUCGGUAGCUGGUCUGAGAGGAUGAUCAGCCACACUGGGACUGAGACACGGCCCAGACUCCUACGGGAGGCAGCAGUGGGGAAUAUUGGACAAUGGGCGCAAGCCUGAUCCAGCAAUGCCGCGUGGUG